ACUGACUGCUAUCGGAUUGAUACUAAGCCAUGCGAGUCAUUGUAGUAAUACAAGGCAGACGGCUCAGUAACGCGUAGUCAACCUAACCUAUGGACGGGAAUAACCUCGGGAAACUGAGUAUAAUGCCCGAUAGGACAUUAUGCCUGGAAUGGUUUAUGUUCCAAAUGAUUUAUCGCCGUAGGAUGGGACUGCGGCCUAUCAGUUUGUUGGUGAGGUAAUGGCCCACCAAGACUAUUACAGGUACGGGCUCUGAGAGGAGUAGCCCGGAGAUGGGUACUGAGACACGGACCCAGGCCCUAUGGGGCGCAGCAGGCGAGAAAACUUUGCAAUGUGCGAAAGCACGACAAGGUUAAUCCGAGUGGUUUCUGCUAAAGGAACCUUUUGUCGGUCCUAGAAACACCGAUGAAUAAGGGGUGGGCAAGUUCUGGUGUCAGCCGCCGCGGUAAAACCAGCACCUCAAGUGGUCAGGAUGAUUAUUGGGCCUAAAGCAUCCGUAGCCGGCUCUGUUAGUUUUCGGUUAAAUCUGUACGCUCAACGUACAGGCUGCCGGGAAUACUGCAAAGCUAGGGAGUGGGAGAGGUAGACGGUACUCGGUAGGAAGGGGUAAAAUCCUUUGGAUCUAUUGAUGACCCCCUGUGGCGAAGGCGGUCUACCAGAACACGU
Molecule: ribosomal RNA, 663 nt
Filed under: uncultured marine archaeon
Lineage: Archaea
Description: bacterial SSU rRNA
Rfam family: Archaeal small subunit ribosomal RNA
Source: RNAcentral